RNAcentral lists this long non-coding RNA (234 nucleotides) under Homo sapiens (human). RNAcentral describes it as "HSALNT0311813". The record is from RNAcentral. Lineage: Eukaryota; Metazoa; Chordata; Mammalia; Primates; Hominidae.
UUAGGAGUUGAUGAUCUCAAUGUGGAACUGCAGUGUUUGCUGUGAUCACCUCUCAACCAAACUACUCACACUUGAAUCCUUAUUUCAGAAUCUGCUUCUAGUGCAACCCAAAGUACAAGUGUAAAGAAAAUAAUUAAUUGUGCUAAUGGCAUAGAAAUGAAGAUGUUUCAGCAUUGGAGAAAGAGAAAUAUAAAAUAACAAGUAAAAAUCUGUAAUCUUAAAUUUGAUUUGGAA